AUGAAAUCUGAAUUGAUUUCUAAAUGUAGGUCCAAGGGCAAAGGACGCCCACCACUGGAGGGCCUAAACAUUGACCUGUGCUUGAAGAGAAGCGUGAUAAACAGACAUCACUACACAAGUACACAAGUACUGGCCUUGCCAAGGUUUUUGAGAUCUCAACAUAGUUCAUUUGGAACUACUACUGCAUUUCAGGGCAAAAUGUUCUCCACACAAUUGAUCGUCACAUUGCUGACCACAUCCUUUAUAGCACAGAUCACUUUUACUUAUGACCUGCAGGACACCAUUAAGAAACUGAGAGAUGAAAAUGCCUACCUUCAACACAGACUGGAGAACAUCACUCAAGCACUGCGUGAGCUGAGGAACCUGAUCUUGGAUCACUCGAAAGACGGAGGAUUCUCAGGGACCAGUGUAGACCAUAAGAGUGAGCAGCUGCAUGCCUGGAAUGAAUGGAUUCGAAAUGGUAUCAGUGCUGAGACGCAUGUCAUGUUGCAGCAGGCAUUCUGUUGGAGUGAUCUUCAUAGCUCUGCUGAUCUAUGGCUGCCAAUACACUUAUGUCUUAUUCUUCUUUCUUGCAACUUCUUGUUUAACUUCUUGUUAAUUUAGCAGGAGUUCAUAACUGUGUACACUGAUUACAGCCUGUUUACUGGCCAAUCAACAGGCCUAACAUUUUUAUUAUUAGUUUACUGUUUGAUCAUUUGAAUUUGUAGUAUAUUUAGUGUUUAGUGAUUAGUAUAGAGUUUUAUAUACAUUUUUGCAAUCAAUGCUGCAAUGUAAAAGUUUUGUAAUUUGAAUAAAAAUAUGGAU
Molecule: long non-coding RNA, 804 nt
Filed under: Astyanax mexicanus (Mexican tetra)
Lineage: Eukaryota; Metazoa; Chordata; Actinopteri; Characiformes; Acestrorhamphidae
Description: lncRNA (ENSAMXG00005008803.1)
Source: RNAcentral